GGAAAAUUAACCACUCGGACUAGCCACAGCAGAUGGUGUGAGCACUCUGCCAUGGUUUUAGAGAGGAUAAGUAGCAGCUCUCCAGGAGGCCAAGGUGAUUGUUUUCCAGGGAGCUGUGAGUGACUGCUGAAGACAUCUGCUCUGUAAAUACUGGAUGUGAAGUGAGUGGAGCCCCACCAACACAACUGUUCCUCACACAGGGAGGUUGGAUUCCCCAUGUCCAAGAAAUGAAGGGGUGAGCUCUGCUGUGUGUCCACGUGGACCUGGGGUGUGACUGGAGAGAGCAGCCAAAGACAGGUUGUAGGAUACUGGAACACUUUUUGCAAGGGAAAGGAUAAGACAUGACUUUAUUUUUAGAGGUGGAUGGUAUUUUUAGAUUAACUUUUUUUCCCCUGGAAGACUUGUAUUUAGGUUGAGCAAAGCAUUUUAAAUAAUACUGUCAACUAAAAAGUCAGUGGAUCAUCUGGUUAAAAAAAA
Molecule: long non-coding RNA, 477 nt
Organism: Athene cunicularia (burrowing owl)
Lineage: Eukaryota; Metazoa; Chordata; Aves; Strigiformes; Strigidae
Exons: 2
Source: RefSeq, a predicted model, not a curated record